UACGGGGGGGGCAAGCGUUGUUCGGAAUUACUGGGCGUAAAGCGUGCGCAGGCGGUUUCGUAAGUCUGUCGUGAAAGCCCCGGGCUCAACCUGGGAAUUGCGAUGGAGACUGCGAGGCUAGAGUGUGUCAGAGGGGGGUAGAAUUCCACGUGUAGCAGUGAAAUGCGUAGAUAUGUGGAGGAACACCGAUGGCGAAGGCAGCCCCCUGGGAUAACACUGACGCUCAUGCACGAAAGCGUGGGGAGCAAACAGG
Molecule: ribosomal RNA, 253 nt
Filed under: uncultured bacterium
Lineage: Bacteria
Description: partial 16S ribosomal RNA
Rfam family: Bacterial small subunit ribosomal RNA
Source: RNAcentral